This 1381-nucleotide unclassified non-coding RNA is filed under the name uncultured Neocallimastigales. Its description in RNAcentral is "partial contains small subunit ribosomal RNA, internal transcribed spacer 1, 5.8S ribosomal RNA, internal transcribed spacer 2, and large subunit ribosomal RNA". The stretch from base 617 to 1381 matches the Rfam family "Eukaryotic large subunit ribosomal RNA", at positions 1 to 611 of the family's 3401-position model. Lineage: Eukaryota; Fungi; Neocallimastigomycota; Neocallimastigomycetes; Neocallimastigales. The record is from RNAcentral.
UUUCCGUAGGUGAACCUGCGGAAGGAUCAUUAAAAAAAUGUGGUACCCUAAUUAUUGGUACUAAUUAAUCAUCCUACCCUUUGUGAAUUUGUUUGUAUGAAUUUUUUUAAAUGGGUCUUUCCCUAAGUUGGAUUGUUAGUAAAAAUACAAAAAGACUUAGGGGAAUGACUUUUUUAAAAGACUUUUUUUUAAAUUAAAACUUUUUGUAUUCAUUUGUCUAAGAUUUAUUUUUAUAAUAUAAAAACAACUUUUGACAAUGGAUCUCUUGGUUCUCGCAACGAUGAAGAACGCAGCAAAAUGCGAUAAGUAGUGUGAAUUGCAGAAUACGUGAAUCAUCGAAUCUUCGAACGCAUAUUGCACUUUUUUAGUUUACUAAAAAAGUAUGUCUGUUUGAGUAUCAGUAAAAUAUUCUCACAAACAAUAUUGUUUUGUGGUAAUGAGUGUUUUACAACGAUAAACAAGUUGUUUCACUUUAAAUUCUUUUUGUAAUUUUAUUUACCAAAUUACAUAAUUUAAAAUUGGAUAAAAUUUUCCUUUAACGAGGAAUAACCUAAACAAUUUUUAAAUUUUUUGGUUUGUAAAAAUCAUCAAAGGAAUCUAUAUACAACAAAUAACUUGAUCUCAAAUCAGAUAAGAGUACCCGCUGAACUUAAGCAUAUCAAUAAGCGGAGGAAAAGAAACUAACAAGGAUUCCCUUAGUAACGGCGAGUGAAGCGGGAAGAGCUCAAUUUGAAAUCUUCAAGGUUUUGACCUUGACGAAUAUGUAGUUUAUAGAAGUGUUUUCUGUUGGAGGUUUUGGUAAAAGUUCUUUGGAAUAGGACAUCAUAGAGGGUGAGAAUCCCGUAUUUGACCCAUGACUUUCCAGCUGUGUGAUACACUUUCAAAGAGUCGGAUUGUUUGGGAAUGCAGUCCAAAAUGGGUGGUAAAUUUCAUCUAAAGCUAAAUAUUGGCGAGAGACCGAUAGCGAACAAGUACCGUGAGGGAAAGAUGAAAAGAACUUUGAAAAGAGAGUUAAACAGUACGUGAAAUUGUCAAAAGGGAGCGUUUGACACCAGUGUUGUUUUUCUCGAAAAAUCAAUUUAAUGAGUUCUUGUUUUUAAGUUAUUGUGACUUUAUCAGCGCAUUUCUUAUUUACUUGACUCAUUGAAUGCACUUUUCGUUUAAACAGUCAACAUCAAUUUCUUUUGGUGGUAAAAAGUUUAAAGGAAGGUGGCUUGGACUUCGGUUCAAGUGUUUAUAGCCUUUUUUCUAUGCCAAUCGGAGAGAUUGAGGUCUGCAGCGUAGAUCCUUCGGGGUUAGAUACCUUUGUGCUAAGUUAUAGUUUUUUAUAGACAACUUGUUGACUAUAAUUAACCCUGUAAUUUACUCGCUUAGGCUACUU